CCCUUCGUACGGGAUGCACCAGUGGGGAAUUUUGGACAAUGGGCGCAAGCCUGAUCCAGCAAUGCCGGGGGAGUGAAGAAGGCCUUCGGGUUGUAAAGCUCUUUUGUCAGGGAAGAAACGGUCGAGGUUAAUACUUUUGGGUAAGGACGGUACCUGAAGAAUAAUCACCGGGGA
Molecule: ribosomal RNA, 174 nt
Filed under: uncultured bacterium
Lineage: Bacteria
Description: partial 16S ribosomal RNA
Rfam family: Bacterial small subunit ribosomal RNA
Source: RNAcentral